AAUCAACGCUGGCGGCGUGCCUAACACAUGCAAGUCGAACGAGAAAGCCUGUAGCAAUACGGGUGAGUAAAGUGGCGACCGGGUGAGUAACACGUGGAUAACCUACCCUUGAGCGGGGAAUAACCCUGGGAAACCGGGGCGUAAUACCGCAUAAUAUCCUUUGUACGAUAGUCGUCGGAUUGAAACCUGGAAACGGGACUCGAGGAGGGGUCCGGCGGCCGAUUAGCUAGUUGGCGGGGUAAGUGGCCCACCAAGGCAGUGAUCGGUAGCCGGCCUGAGAGGGCGGACGGCCACACUGGAACUG
Molecule: ribosomal RNA, 304 nt
Filed under: uncultured bacterium
Lineage: Bacteria
Description: bacterial SSU rRNA
Rfam family: Bacterial small subunit ribosomal RNA
Source: RNAcentral